GACGAACGCUGGCGGCGUGCUUAACACAUGCAAGUCGAGCGGAGCGGCGCACUGGUGAGUAACGCGUGAGUAACUGCCCCCCUCUCCGGGAUAACAGUUGGAAACGGCGGCUAAUACCGGAUAGUGGGGGAUGACUCGCGUCCUAUCAGCUUGUUGGUGGGGUAGUGGCCUACCAAGGCGACGACGGGUAGCCGGCCUGCGAGGGCGACCGGCCCCAUAGGGCAGGGAUAGGGGCCGAAGUGAUACGGGAGGAAGCAGUGGAGAAUAUUGCACAAUGGGGGAAACCCUGAUGGAGGAACGCCGCGUGGGGGAUGACGGCCUUUGGGUUGUAAACCGCUUUCAGCCAUGACGCGGUAGUGGCAGAGGAAGCACCGGCUAACUACGUGCCAGCAGCCGCGGUAAUUC
Molecule: ribosomal RNA, 405 nt
Filed under: uncultured bacterium
Lineage: Bacteria
Description: partial 16S ribosomal RNA
Rfam family: Bacterial small subunit ribosomal RNA
Source: RNAcentral